GGAGCAUGCAGGCAUGCGCAAGCAAGAGAAAGACAGAGAGCAAGGCUGGAAGAAUGAAGGCUGUGACGCACGAUUAUCUUCCCUCUGCCGACUCAUUGGCUGCUGGGUCCGCCCGUCAGUGAGCUCAGGUUCAGGGCUAUGCCAUCAGGGCAGAUUAUGAAGCAGAUCUUGUCUCUAGUGCUCUCCUCCACUUGUCUCAAUGGCUGAACACAGGCUCUCCACGCUUCUCUUGCUGUGGCUCUUUGUGUGCAUGCAGCGGGCAUGGCCGUUUGAUCAAGUGCCUGAAAUCCUGGACAGGAGGAUUGGCAGUCCCAGGCAAAUUCAGCCCAAGAGCAGACCAUCUGAUGCAGAAAGAAGUCUCCAAGAACCCCAAAAUUUCAUCACAGGAUCUGCUAGUAAGUCUUGCACAAAUUUGCCCUGCAUGUGAGCCAUGCCAGGAAAAAGCCUUUGCAAGACUACAGUUUGCCAAUGAGUAUUUAGGUCUUUUGGAAUAAUGUGCUUUGGACAGACAAAUGAAAGAUAGAGUUGUUUGUCCACAGUAACAGCAGACAAGUUUGGCGCAG
Molecule: long non-coding RNA, 563 nt
Organism: Ictalurus punctatus (channel catfish)
Lineage: Eukaryota; Metazoa; Chordata; Actinopteri; Siluriformes; Ictaluridae
Source: Ensembl